GGUAGCUGUGUCUUGAUCCUAAUUCACCAUGUUUCUCAGUAACAAUAUAAUAGUUUUACCGCAGACUUAACCAGUGCAGUAACAGUAUUGAUAUAGAUAAUCCCCAAUCUUUAAAAUUUUCCCAGGAGCAAAGACAACGCGGGGAAAUAGUGUUUUUGAUUCCCAGAGGAGAGAAGCAUCUGUGGUGGCACCGUGGCAGGGACACUGGGUUGUUAUCGGUGAUGGUGCUGGAGCGUGCAUCGUAGAGCCCUUGUGUCGGUGUAAAAGUAACGCUUCACUGUUUAUUUCGAACCUUGAGAGUGUUGCCGUGGAUCAGAACAGGACAGCACAGGGGGUAGGCAGUGGUGGUCCAGGCAGUGAUGGAAGGAGAAGAGAUGUAAUCUUGCCUCACUGCACCACACUAUUUGCCGCACACCACACUGACAUGAGUUAGCACUCCAUGUCACACCACAACUGCCGCCAUGAACAAGCUGAAGCUGCAGAGUCACCAGAAGAACUACAGGGAGGAGGACCUGCUGGUGAAUGUGAAGGAUCUAGGGCCAGAGGUGAAGGCAGGUGAUGUCAUUGAGAUCUACCACCCUGAAGAUGAUCUGCCUCGCCUUCUCCUCAAGAUUCCCUCCACCCUCGAGGACAUCAACCUCCAGAAGGACACCAUUAGCAUCGAGCAGAGCAUUGCUGCCACCUUCCAACUGCGGAACUACAAAGAUGUCAUCGUGAACACCGUGGAGCCCAAGGCGGUAGCGCUGGAGUUGGUGGAGCUGACAUUCAAGGACCAGUACCUCGGCCGCUCAGACAUGUGGAGGCUUAAGAUGCACAUGGUGAACUCAGUGGUGUACCUCAACAAGAAGAUUGAGUUCUGUUCUGGCAGCAUCCGCACACAGGUAUACGAGAUGUGGGCCCAGGGUGGCAAGGUGGCCUGUGGAGUGGUCACGGAGAACACGAAAGUGGUGUAUCGUUCCUCCACCAGCAUGGUCUAUCUCUUCAUCCAAAUGAGCUCCGAGAUGUGGGACUUUGACCUCUAUGGCGACCUGUACUUUGAGAAGGCUGUCAGUGGGUUUCUGUCCGAGCUCUUUGCCAAGUGGAAGAAGGAGAGCAGCAACCAUGACGUGACCAUUGUACUGUUCUCCCGCACCUACUACAAGGCCACCAGCAUUGACGAGUUCCCCACCUACAUGAGGGAGUGCCUGCAGGAGGACUACCGUGGAAGGUUCUAUGAGGACUUCUACAGGGUGGCAGUGCAGAAUGAGCGCUACGAUGACUGGUCUGCCACCCUGACACUGCUGCGCCGCAUGUUCAACAGUUACCUGCCCAGCGUCCUGCAGCACCACCACCAGCCUGGCGUCACGGUGCCCGAGGCUGUCAACUCCUCAGCCUCGCAAGGGAACUUUCUCGAGGUGCUCAAUAUUUCACUCAAUGUGUUUGAGAAGCACUAUCUGGACCGGAGUUUUGACCGCACUGGACAGGUGUCGGUGGUGGUGACGCCGGGAGUGGGGGUGUUUGAAGUGGACCGCGAGCUCACCAACAUCACCAAGCAGCGCAUCAUUGACAACGGCGUGGGCUCAGACCUGGUGUGUGUCGGGGAGCAGCCUCUCCAUGCUGUGCCACUGCUCAAGUUCCACAACAAGAAGGGUGGAGUGAAUGCAGAUGACUACAGCAUGCCACACACCUGGAUCAACCUCAGCUUCUACUCAUCCAAGAAAAAAAUUGGCUAUGGCACUUUCAUCCCCCGCAUUAAGCUACCACCAGAGAAGCCCAAGACAUCAAAGAGGGAACGGCCGGACUGCCUCGCCUCGGCCCCCUGUAUGAAGCCGGCCCUGCAAGACACAGCACUGCCCAACUCCAUCUUUGAUUAUGACUCCUAUGAUGCCCAGGUGUUCAAGUUGCCAAGUAGCCACAACAAUAAGGCAUACCGCAGCCUGCAGCGCCCCACCACCAGGAAGAAGGCACCACAGGGCCACCCACCCUCCUCCUCCGUGCAGCCUAUCACCCGUGUCACCCUGCACCGCAAACUGUCUGACCCUGAUCUGUACAGUGGAGUGGAGCAGAUCUCCACCUCCCUAGUGCCCAUGGGGAGUGGUGUGGGGUCGGUGAUUGACAAGUCCCCGGCCAUCAACAUCCCAGCACGCAUCACGGAAAACAAGAUGUACUCGCAGUCCUUUGGCGCUCUCAAUGUGGAAGGAGUGCAGCGUCCCUGCACACAGGCGCUGUACGAGGGAGAUGAGACGUCCCCCUCACACUCUAAGGUGGGGUCAAGCAACGGUGCCUCACCCUGCGAGAGGACACAGCUCACCAAGAACAAGCCGGUCAGCACACACCGGCCCGGGAGGUCACUCAUCAACCCCUUUGACCCAUCCCACAUGACCAUCAAGCUCACCUCAAACAGAAGGAGAUGGAUUCAUAUAUUUCCCAAAGACCAGACCGGUGUCUUGAUCCAGCAGCAUCACUACCAGGUGAGCAGCCGGGCUAGAGGCAACAAUUCCUCCUCCUCACCGCUGCCAACACCUGACGGGGACACCACUUACCUCACACACCUCCACCACCACCACCACUUUGCCUCCACACCCACCAAGAAUGGCCCAGCUUCUCCCAGUGCUGAGUUUAGGAUGUACAACGGCUCAGGCAUGGUGGAGGUGAAUGGUAUGCGUCCCCGGAACCUCAACACUCAGCACAGUCAGGAGAGUAUCAAUGGAGUGAGGAGAGAGAGUAGGCCACGCACCACCUCCCAGAACAGUUCCCUCGCUUCUGUGGACAUCACUCUGCGCGGUGCUGGCACCCCACAGAAGGCUGGAGGGGCAGGAGUGGGCGGGGGGCUGCGUUUGGUCGGGGGCGUCAACUCUGGCAAGGCUAAGUUCCCCGCCACUCUGAUCUGGGGAGCCACGGGAGAGCAGGAGUGGAAUGCUGGACUUACUACAGGAGUGGACUGGAAGAGCCUGACGCUGCCGGCCUGCCUGCCCAUCACCACGGACUACUUCCCCGAGGAGCAGUCCCUCCACAACGACUAUGUGGUGGCUGACUAUAACCUGCUGGUGGACGAACCUGAGGAGUCCGUGCGCAGACCACUCACCACCAAGAUGGUCUUCCUUGAAUUGGUGUCGCAACGGCUGGCUCAGGGAUUCCAGAUGAUAAUGCUGGCAGAGAGAGGCGGCGUCGGGGGAGCGGGAGGAGGGGAGCUUGUGUCGGGGAGUGCUUCCAGCUACUCUGGGGUGGGAUCCUUCAUUCGCAACCGCAGCCGCACCCACCACAACACCGUGACGCAGGAGUACCGCCUCUCUAUUGGUCGUAUUUUCCACAAGAUUCUUCUGUAUGGCUCCACCAUCACUGUUACUAUCUACAGACCCCGACACCCGUACCCUCAGCUGAAGCGUCAAUACAAGUACAGGUUCCGGGCGCCUGAGAUGAGCAGUUAUGAGGUGUCCUGGGUAGACUUCAGGACAGAGCGCCUCGAGACCUACAUGUGGAACCACCUCGACAACUACAUCUGCUUCCGGGGCGAGUCUCCAGAUUACCCACUCAUUGAGCCCCUCAAGUUCUGGCGGUUCCGAGUGCUGCUGGUGGGUGACUGCUUCAGAGGCCCCACACGGUCCAUCCUGGAGACUGACACACUGACUGACAUCUAUGGGAGGCCCAGCCUGGAUGAGCAGCAGGAGACAAUAGAAGGCUUCCUCAGGUUCCUGGAGAUCACUGUGCACCGCCUCAAGAAACCAGUCAACGCACGCAAGUCCCGGAAGGUGGGGGGAGGGGGUGCCAAGGGUGGGGGGGUGUUUGGGCGUCGCCACAGUCUGGCAGCGCCCAGCCUCCCCUCCUCAGGCACCAUCUUCACUGUGACCACGCCCUUCACCGCCACCGCUGCUGCUGGGUCCAGUGGCCAGAAUGUUGGUGGCAUACGGGAGAGGCUCGGAAGUAACCGUGUGCUGGAGCGACCACGACCAAGGGCAGGUAGCAGGGCAUCAGAGAGGCUGCGUUUCGAGGGUGGCUCGGCGCGGGAGGUGCACGCUGACCCUCCUGAGAUGAAGAGCUUGGUGGAGCCAGAGGAGGAGGCCAAGGAGGAAGGGGAGAACAAGAAGCUGGCACUGGGGUCCACACUGGGAGAGGUGGCUGAAGUGAUGAAGGACCCAGUGAGGGGCGUGUGUCUCCUGCAGCGACAGCCCUGCCUGCCGGCCCUCACCUUUGUGGCUGGCGACGCCACGGCCUGGGUGUGUGACCACGUGGAGGGGGCCGCAUCAGAGACUGCUGCUGUGGAACUCCUGCAGAAAAUGGUGAAGAGUGAACUAAUUUGCCAUGCCUCGGGGAACAAAGACCAUCCCUUCGUGCACGGCUUCUUCCUCUACUUCUUCGUCACUGGGAACAAAGAGCAAGACCAGGUGAGCCUCGACCAACUGUCCUUCCUCAAUGAGUGGCAUCAGGUGGAGGUGGAGCCGCUUCCCUCGCCACCCCGCCAGGUGCCCUCCACACCCCCGCCCUGUCCCACCUUCCUUCAGGCCGACCUGCCGCUGCCCAUGCCCCGCAGAGGACGCUUCAAGUUGUACCGCACAGGACACUUGGAUCUGGACUGCAACAACAGGAGUGACCGUAUAGAAUGGGGCCACAUCAAGUACCACUCAGUCUUCCACCCACAGCAGGCAUAUGAAGUCAUCGUGCAGUGGCUGUGUGCGACGGGGACCAUUGUGACAGACCUGAUGGUGACAUGGCAGAGGAAGGCACAGGCAUGCGGGCUGCACCUGUUCCCUGUGCCAAGCGACCCCUUUGCUCUGCCUUACUCCUGCAACUCAGACCCCCUGCGUGGCCCCAUCCUAGUGCCCCUCAAUGUGUCCUGCUUCACCCUGCCUGGCUCGGAACCCUUUGCACAGUUCCCGGCAGACACUUGGGGCCGCCGCAUGCAUCUCUUCCAGGAGGCAAUCUUGGAGAGGUUCGGGUUUGUGCCAUACGUGACUGACACACACACCACUGACCCCAACCAGUUUGUCCACGUGACGGGCAAUAUGUUCAUUAUGAUCCACUCCCCUGGCUCCUGUGCCCUCCCCUACACCCCAGAGCCCCCCACCCGUACCCGGACCUUCUCUACCUCCUCCGCCUCGCAGCUCAACCAGCCCGGAUUCCUGUGGACCUUCAACUACAUGCUAACCAGGCGAUGGAAGGUGCCUCAGAUAUCUGGAGACGAGGUGCUUGCCGAGAAGAUGCUGCACGACUUCCGCCUCUUCUGCGCCAAUGACCGGAACAGACUCAGGGACUUCUGGGACUCGCACCUCCCCCUCCUUGCCCCGACUUCCCCCACUGAUGACCUAAUGAGUGAACCUUAAGUGUUGGGUUGUAAUUUGAGGCACUUUCCCCAUGGUGCCUCUGCAUCUUUCUAAAGGCUCUGGAGAAAUGCUCUUGAGAACCUCCACGACUUUCACAAGGCUCUAGUUGAAGUAGAGAAGGGGAAAGAGAAAGAUAAUGAUGAUGAAGAGGACAAGAAAGAAGAUUAUGAUGAUGAUGACAAAAAAGUGAUACUCUAUUCAAAUAAAUAAUAAGUAAUAGAAUAUCACAAUAUCCUAGUUUAGUCAUACAUAUACCAUACAAAAGCUAUGUAUAUUGUUGCUAUAGUAUGAUAUAUUUUUGCUGCUCAAUAUUUAGUGUGUAUGGAGUUAGUAUGUUGAAUGAUUGGUGUGUGUGUGUGUGUGUGUGUGUGUUGUUGAAGAUUUUAGUUAAUAUAUUUUUGUUUUUCUGCUUAUCUAUGGAAAAUUUGUGUUGAUGAUGAUGGCUGUUUGAAAAAAUAGUAUUGAUUAUCUUUUCCCUUUUCCAUUUUUCUCAUUUCUUCUUUCCUCCAUGUCCUUUCUUUAUAUUCCUUUGUCUUUAUCUUUCCUCAUUUUCCUUUAUUCUUCCCAUUUUUCUUUCUUUUGUUUCCUUCCUUUACAUUUUUUAUCCCGUCUUUCUCAUUUCCUUGUAUUUAUUUUGUUUUCCUUUAUAACUCUUUUGUCCUUUCUCUCAUUUCCUUGUAUUUCUUUUGUUUUCCUUUCUCUCUCCUCUUUAAAAUUUAUCUUUUGAAUUUAGGAUGAAAGGCAAGGUGUGUAUACUCUUCCCUGGUGCCAGUAUAUUAUGGUUUGUAUUAUGUAUCAUCAUGUAUUUUCACUAUUUUCCUGUAUCUUGUACCUCUUGUGUUUUGGUGGCCCUUAGAAAUUACUGUACUUUUUAUUUUGCUUUAUUGGAUUGACGUUUAUUUUAUUUUGUGUGAAUUUCAUUUUGUUUUUGUGUAUCCUUUCAAUUGUUUUUCGAAGUCAGUUGUGGAAGAUCAGGAUUACUUAACUUGCCGAAUUCAUAUGUUCCUAAAAUGAUGUCUAGAUUAUUCUCUCUCUCUCUCUCUCUCUCUCUCUCUCUCUCUCUCUCUCUCUCUCUCUCUCUCUCUCUCUCUCUCUCU
Molecule: unclassified non-coding RNA, 6394 nt
Filed under: Portunus trituberculatus (swimming crab)
Lineage: Eukaryota; Metazoa; Arthropoda; Malacostraca; Decapoda; Portunidae
Description: gATOR complex protein Iml1-like, transcript variant X1
Source: RNAcentral